GAUGAAGAACGCAGCGAAAUGCGAUAACUAAUGUGAAUUGCAGAAUUCAGUGAAUCAUCGAGUCUUUGAACGCACAUUGUGCCCCCUGGUAUUCCGGGGGGCAUGCCUGUCCGAGCGUCAUUGCUGCCCUCAAGCACGGCUUGUGUGUUGGGCUCCGUCCCCCCGGGGACGGGCCCGAAAGGCAGCGGCGGCACCGAGUCCGGUCCUCGAGCGUAUGGGGCUUUGUCACCCGCUCUGUAGGCCCGGCCGGCGCCAGCCGACAACCCAUCAUCCUUUUCAGGUUGACCUCGGAUCAGGUAGGGAUACCCGCUGAACUUAAGCAUAUCAAUAAGCGGAGGA
Molecule: unclassified non-coding RNA, 339 nt
Filed under: soil metagenome
Description: partial contains 5.8S ribosomal RNA, internal transcribed spacer 2, and large subunit ribosomal RNA
Rfam family: 5.8S ribosomal RNA (bases 1-120)
Source: RNAcentral